GUCUCAGGCCGUAUCAGCCUGAAGGCGCCCGAUCUCGUCUGAUCUCGGAAGCUAAGCAGGUCGGGCCUGGUUAGGAUCUUGGAUGGGAGACCACCUGGGAAUCCCGGGUGCUCGAGGCU
Molecule: ribosomal RNA, 119 nt
Organism: Bison bison bison
Lineage: Eukaryota; Metazoa; Chordata; Mammalia; Artiodactyla; Bovidae
Source: Ensembl